GCAAGUCGACGGCAGCACGGGUGCUUGCACCUGGUGGCGAGUGGCGAACGGGUGAGUAAUACAUCGGAACAUGUCCUGUAGUGGGGGAUAGCCCGGCGAAAGCCGGAUUAAUACCGCAUACGAUCUACGGAUGAAAGCGGGGGACCUUCGGGCCUCGCGCUAUAGGGUUGGCCGAUGGCUGAUUAGCUAGUUGGUGGGGUAAAGGCCUACCAAGGCGACGAUCAGUAGCUGGUCUGAGAGGACGACCAGCCACACUGGGACUGAGACACGGCCCAGACUCCUACGGGAGGCAGCAGUGGGGAAUUUUGGACAAUGGGCGAAAGCCUGAUCCAGCAAUGCCGCGUGUGUGAAGAAGGCCUUCGGGUUGUAAAGCACUUUUGUCCGGAAAGAAAUCCUUGGUUCUAAUAUAGCCGGGGGAUGACKGUACCGGAAGAAUAAGCACCGGCUAACUACGUGCCAGCAGCCGCGGUAAUACGUAGGGUGCAAGCGUUAAUCGGAAUUACUGGGCGUAAAGCGUGCGCAGGCGGUUUGCUAAGACCGAUGUGAAAUCCCCGGG
This 556-nucleotide ribosomal RNA is filed under the name Burkholderia sp. RZ1MS15. RNAcentral describes it as "bacterial SSU rRNA". It matches the Rfam family "Bacterial small subunit ribosomal RNA", at positions 57 to 607 of the family's 1533-position model. Lineage: Bacteria; Pseudomonadati; Pseudomonadota; Betaproteobacteria; Burkholderiales; Burkholderiaceae. The record is from RNAcentral.